GACGAACGCUGGCGGCGUGCUUAACACAUGCAAGUCGAACGGAAAGGCCCUGCUUGCAGGGUACUCGAGUGGCGAACGGGUGAGUAACACGUGGGUGAUCUGCCCUGCACUUCGUGAUAAGCCUGGGCAACUGGGUCUAAUACCGGAUAGGAGCCAUUUUUAGUGUGAUGGUUGGAAAGUUUUUUCGGUGUAGGAUGAGCUCGCGGCCUAUCAGCUUGUUGGUGGGUUAAUGGCCUACCAAGGCGGCGACGGGUAGCCGGCCUGAGAGGGUGGACGGCCACAUUGGGACUGAGAUACGGCCCAGACUCCUACGGGAGGAAGCAGUGGGGAAUAUUGCACAAUGGGCGCAAGCCUGAUGCAGCGACGCCGCGUGGGGGAUGACGGCCUUCGGGUUGUAAACUCCUUUCGCUAGGGACGAAGCUUUUUGUGACGGUACCUAGAGAAGAAGCACCGGCUAACUACGUG
RNAcentral lists this ribosomal RNA (465 nucleotides) under uncultured bacterium. RNAcentral's name for it is "partial 16S ribosomal RNA". It matches the Rfam family "Bacterial small subunit ribosomal RNA", at positions 28 to 507 of the family's 1533-position model. The record is from RNAcentral.